Phoenix dactylifera (date palm) is the source of this 3657-nucleotide non-coding RNA. Lineage: Eukaryota; Viridiplantae; Streptophyta; Magnoliopsida; Arecales; Arecaceae. The record is from RefSeq and is a predicted model, not a curated record.
CUUUACGAUCCCCUCCCCCGGACCCCACUCCUCCUUAAGAACCCCCGCCCCUGAGCCCACCCUGGUGUCUCUCUCCUAGAAUUCUUCUCUCUGCGGCAAGAAUCCCAAAAUUUCCCCUCCUUCUGGUCCGAAUUCCGCCGCCCCGAUCUCCGGAGAUGGAGAAUUCCGGCUUCCUCUCGUGCGAGAAGCUCGACCGCUUGGCGAAUUGGCUCGGGCGAGCGUCUCCUCGGCCUUCUUCGCCUCCCUGGAGCGCUGCUCGUGCAUCAAUCUCAGCACCACCGACAACGAGGACGACGCCCAGCCGGAGGAGGCCAAGGGUCGCCCUCUCAUGCUCACCAAGCCCAUCUCCCAUGAUGCCCCUGACGAGGCCCCAAGCCCGGUCCCUAAAACCCUAAUUCCGACAAGCUCCCUGGGUCUGAAACCGCCUCUCUCGCUGGUGUUAUCUUUCCAGGAUCGUAAUCGAUGUAAACGAUGUUAUUGAUGCUCCUUGUCUAUGUCAGGUUUAGUUGUUUGCAGAGUCUUCGAUGUGGUUAUAUAAGGAUAGAUCUAUGUUUAGAUGAAAAUUUGUUUUCUUUCUUGUUCUGAAUAAUCUUGUGUCUUCUUUAAAUUUCUUUGGGCGUGCAAAGUUCUUAUUUUGUUGAAUUUUUGUAUACUUUUCAGAAUGGUAGAGUAGUACAAAAACUUGUACAUAAUUAUUCAUGCUUCCUUUUUUAUUCUGUUCAAAUAUAUCCGCUAUUGGCCGAAAGUGAUGUCGUUAUUUAGAAGUAGAUACGUGUUCGGAUGAAAAAAUUGCUUAUAUUUGUGGAAUUCAGUGUCUUGUUCAAGUUUCUUUGGUGAAAAUUUUUGUAGUUAAAUAGAUUUGAGAACUUUUGUCAGGUUGAUUUUAGCUCUUGACUUGUUUAUUUAUUUUCCCCUGGCAGAACACAUAUUGAUGAUGAUAAAUACUAUGUGGAAUGAAAUUAAUGAUUAGAGAAGCUCGAUAAUUGAGAUAAUAUGCGGGGUAUGUCGAACCUUGUUCUCCAUAGAUAAGUUUAUGCUUUUUCAGCAAUAGUCUGCUAUUCAUCAUUAUUAUUUUUUCGGAGGCUGUUUGAAGAUGUGAAAAUGUAGGUCUAAUUAUCAUAUGACUGUGUAUCUUGCUGGUUUGGGGUCAUUUGAGGAUUAAUUAGGAGUCACCAAAAUGCUUCACUGAAUAAUAAUCGAGGAAAAAAUUCGAAUUUAUUAUGUCCGUGUUUCAGGUAUUAAAGUACAAGGAGAUGUUAGGGUUAUUAGAUAGUGCAUUGAUCCUUAAGAAGACCAAGUUUAGAAUAUGCAUUGGACAUACAGUUUGGAGCAUGCAGGUUUUUGAGCUUAGUUUCUUAGGCACCUGAUAUUCUUGAAGUGGUGUUGGGGCAGUCUAAGAAUCACCAAACAAGACCAAUGAUAUAUAUGUAAAGGGCGUUUUCAGUUCAAUUCAAUGCGAAUGAUCAUGAUCAAUGGGUGGGUUGUUGGAUUACCUUGACUAGGUGAAUGUUACUUUUGUAAAUGAGGAAAGCAAUGAUUACUUUUCGGGUGUCAAAAAGAGCUUCCGACUGAAGCAUAGAAUGUAUUUUUGGAGGAAACUAUAAGUCUAUCUUAUGUGUGCGAAAUGAUUAUGUAUCUCAUUUGAUCUGAAACUGUCAUUAAAUACAAGCAGUCAAGUCAUGGUUAGUUUCUUAUUUGCAGCACCUAGUGUAUCUGAGACUUAAAAAAGAAAAGAUGUUGUAAGGUGUAACUUGUGUGGUGGAUUUUUAAGAGGAUCAUGUUCUCAUCACAGUUAGGAUAGGUUGAUUGCUUCUUGUUAGGAUACAAAAGGACAUGAGAGAAAAGUAAUCUGAUCUUUCUAGGCAUCCUCUAUGAUUUUUAUUCUGUUUAGUUUGAAAAUAAAUAGCCAAUUAAUCAAAUCACUUAACAGGAGAAAGAAAGAUGAAGAACUAAGACUUUGGCAACAGAAAAAGAAAAAAGAUAAAGAACUAAAGAGAUGGCUGGCAGGGCUAAUCUUAGAAUUCCUGCAGUCUGUAAGGUCCGAUUCGCAGUAAAACAUAUUACAUAUUAUAUGGCAUAGUCAUCUUUAAGCUUUAUUCCAUGGUUCCUUCAAGGCCAAGCAUGAUCCAGAAUGCUCAAAAAUUCUUUUUUGGGUUCAUAUUGAAUACCAAAUAAUGGUUCAAGCUUGCGAAUAAAUUCCCUUAGUUUUUCUUGUUCAAGUGAUUCUGCAUGCCAUGAUGUCUUUCUUGCACCCUUAAAUCCGAAAAGCUGAUUCUUGAUCCACAUUGAUUACGUAUUGAUCAAAAUCAGUUCAAAAUCAACAACUGUCUUAUGAGCUAAUCCAUGUUCUCUUUAACGAAGACUUAUUUCCCAAGUCUUGCCUAUAUUUUUAAAGGUUCUGUUAUAACUUCGGCAAGGGUUAGAGGAUUGGCACCACCAUCUUCCUCUUUAAAGAUUGCCGGAUGUUCUUUUUAUGUUUAUAAUUGAGGGAAGACAUGUUGAGCCUAAUGAUGGAAAAGUAUGAGCUAUAUGUAGCUUGCAACUUGUGAGGGAUUGAACCUCCUACUUUAACAAGGCACUUUCUUUUCUAAAUUAUACUUGUGUCCAUUUGUUGACUGAUUACAUUAACUCAAAUGCACUUUGUAGCCUUGCCAAUUCUGUAAGUUGAAUUAUACUUAUUCUUCUUUGCUCUCCUACAGUUUCUUGAUUCUUGGCUUGGAACUAUUGUUUGUUUCUUAGCAUCUUAUACAUUUAUAUCACAAAAUCUCAUGCUUAGAUUACCCUUUUACUUCUCAUCCUAUAAAAGCCUCAUUUUAAAGUAAUAUAAAUUAUAAGUACAAAAGAUGAUCAAACAUGUUCGAUAAGGACAUCAUGUGAAGGUUGGCAGGGAUGGCUUCUUGAGCCAUUUGGUAUGUUUAGUAGCUCUUUUGUUCAGUCAACUGUUCUAAUUGGCAUUAAAGGAUGAUCUAAUGUUCAGAUUAGAAUCUCAAAUGUAUCACUUGAAGUAUAUGAUUUCUAAUUAAUCAUCAUACUAUUAUUAUUAAAAGGAAAGGAGAAUUGCCUGGGGUUGCUUUGCCCGAGAGGGCUGCGAUUUCUUUUCGGACCGAAGGAGGGCGUGCAUGGUAUGAGAGGAUCAUGAAUUAUGGUUUGCAGCCAAACACUGAAUCAAGCCAAUCACAUGAUCUUGAGACUGCCUUCGUUCCAAUUAUUGCAUAAUGAUUGGAAACGUUACAUGGUUGAACUCAGUGUGGAGCGAUGCCACUUUCUUUCUUUUUUUCUGGGUAGAUUGUAAUGUAAUGCGUUAAUCCCUCAUUUAAUUCAUCAAAUUUUUGUAUCAAAUUAGAUUCUCUAGAUCCUAAGCCUGCUGCAUUGGCAACACCGUUCGUUGAGCUUCUGAUUAUCACUAUUGGUUUUCCACCUUCUGACAAGUCCCCAACUGCUUGAUCAUGAUUUGUUGCCACAACUCAGAUUAGUGAAGUCUGGAGAUUGCUGGUCAAUCUACACAUAAGUCAAGAAGAGCAAAGAAGGUCGCCGGCCGGGAGGCCUCCGAUGUUUAAGUUAGAGCUUUAAGAAACAAUAGAAAAAAGGAAGAAAAGAGCAGUAUAUAAUUUGAGAUGCAUACCUAAUACCUUGAGCUUUUUUUUUAGAUUUUUUAAU